RNAcentral lists this ribosomal RNA (477 nucleotides) under uncultured bacterium. Its description in RNAcentral is "partial 16S ribosomal RNA". It matches the Rfam family "Bacterial small subunit ribosomal RNA", at positions 30 to 507 of the family's 1533-position model. The record is from RNAcentral.
AUUGAACGCUGGCGGCAUGCCUUACACAUGCAAGUCGAACGGUAACAGGUUAAGCUGACGAGUGGCGAACGGGUGAGUAAUGUAUCGGAACGUGCCCAGUCGUGGGGGAUAACUGCUCGAAAGAGCAGCUAAUACCGCAUACGACCUGAGGGUGAAAGCGGGGGAUCGCAAGACCUCGCGCGAUUGGAGCGGCCGAUAUCAGAUUAGGUAGUUGGUGAGGUAAAGGCGCACCAAGCCGACGAUCUGUAGCUGGUCUGAGAGGACGACCAGCCACACUGGGACUGAGACACGGCCCAGACUCCUACGGGAGGCAGCAGUGGGGAAUUUUGGACAAUGGGCGCAAGCCUGAUCCAGCCAUGCCGCGUGCGGGAAGAAGGCCUUCGGGUUGUAAACCGCUUUUGUCAGGGAAGAAAAGGUUCUGGCUAAUACCUGGGACUCAUGACGGUACCUGAAGAAUAAGCACCGGCUAACUACGUG